AUCUUCUUAGUAUAGUAUUAGUACCCGUGACUUCCAAUUACCCAGCCUUGGUUUAAAUCCAGGAGAAGAUA
This 71-nucleotide transfer RNA is filed under the name Pachypanchax playfairii (golden panchax). RNAcentral's name for it is "tRNA-Gly". It matches the Rfam family "tRNA". Rfam says of the family: Transfer RNA (tRNA) molecules are approximately 80 nucleotides in length. Their secondary structure includes four short double-helical elements and three loops (D, anti-codon, and T loops). Lineage: Eukaryota; Metazoa; Chordata; Actinopteri; Cyprinodontiformes; Aplocheilidae. The record is from RNAcentral.